GCACCCAUCGUCUAUCGGUGAGGAUACCACACUUUCACUGUGGGGAGACCGGUUCGAUUCCGGUUGGGUGUUCCA
RNAcentral lists this transfer RNA (75 nucleotides) under Rhizobium laguerreae. Its description in RNAcentral is "tRNA-Glu". It matches the Rfam family "tRNA". Rfam says of the family: Transfer RNA (tRNA) molecules are approximately 80 nucleotides in length. Their secondary structure includes four short double-helical elements and three loops (D, anti-codon, and T loops). Lineage: Bacteria; Pseudomonadati; Pseudomonadota; Alphaproteobacteria; Hyphomicrobiales; Rhizobiaceae. The record is from RNAcentral.